Molecule: unclassified non-coding RNA, 332 nt
Filed under: soil metagenome
Description: partial contains 5.8S ribosomal RNA, internal transcribed spacer 2, and large subunit ribosomal RNA
Rfam family: 5.8S ribosomal RNA (bases 1-120)
Source: RNAcentral
GAUGAAGAACGCAGCAAAAUGCGAUAAGUAAUGUGAAUUGCAGAAUUCAGUGAAUCAUCGAAUCUUUGAACGCACAUUGCGCCCGCCAGUAUUCUGGCGGGCAUGCCUGUUCGAGCGUCAUUUCAACCCUCAAGCACAGCUUGGUGUUGGGACUCGCGUUAAUUCGCGUUCCCCAAAUUGAUUGGCGGUCACGUCGAGCUUCCAUAGCGUAGUAGUAAAACCCUCGUUACUGGUAAUCGUCGCGGCCACGCCGUUAAACCCCAACUUCUGAAUGUUGACCUCGGAUCAGGUAUGAAUACCCGCUGAACUUAAGCAUAUCAAUAAGCGGAGGA